AUGCACGCUGGCGGCGUGCCUAAUACCUGCCAGUCGAGCGAACGGACGAGAAGCUUGCUUCUCUGAUGUUAGCGGCGGACGGGUGAGUAACACGUGGAUAACCUACCUAUAAGACUGGGAUAACUUCGGGAAACCGGAGCUAAUACCGGAUAAUAUUUUGAACCGCAUGGUUCAAAAGUGAAAGACGGUCUUGCUGUCACUUAUAGAUGGAUCCGCGCUGCAUUAGCUAGUUGGUAAGGUAACGGCUUACCAAGGCAACGAUGCAUAGCCGACCUGAGAGGGUGAUCGGCCACACUGGAACUGAGACACGGUCCAGACUCCUACGGGAGGCAGCAGUAGGGAAUCUUCCGCAAUGGGCGAAAGCCUGACGGAGCAACGCCGCGUGAGUGAUGAAGGUCUUCGGAUCGUAAAACUCUGUUAUUAGGGAAGAACAUAUGUGUAAGUAACUGAGCACAUCUUGACGGUACCUAAUCAGAAAGCCACGGCUAACUACGUG
This 496-nucleotide ribosomal RNA is filed under the name uncultured bacterium. RNAcentral describes it as "partial 16S ribosomal RNA". It matches the Rfam family "Bacterial small subunit ribosomal RNA", at positions 29 to 507 of the family's 1533-position model. The record is from RNAcentral.